Trichoderma gamsii is the source of this 73-nucleotide non-coding RNA. The record is from Rfam. Lineage: Eukaryota; Fungi; Ascomycota; Sordariomycetes; Hypocreales; Hypocreaceae.
GCUCGUGAAGCUCAAUUGGUCGAGCAGAAUCUUGAAGCGAUUUUGGUUGUAAGUUCAAGUCUUACCACGGGCA